This 628-nucleotide ribosomal RNA is filed under the name uncultured eukaryote. RNAcentral describes it as "SSU rRNA". It matches the Rfam family "Eukaryotic small subunit ribosomal RNA", at positions 611 to 1296 of the family's 1831-position model. The record is from RNAcentral.
UGCUGCAGUUAAAAAGCUCGUAGUUGAAUAUCCGGCGUCUCUGACGUCUGCCCGACUCGGCUGUAGAUGUUGAGAAACUUUUACUGUUCGAUCAGGCGUUUACUGUGAACAAAUUAGAGUGCUCAAAACAGGCUUUUGCUUGAAUUUUUUAGCAUGGAAUAAUAAAAUACGACUUCGCUCAUUUUAUUGGUUCUUGAACGAAGUAAUGGUUAACAGGAACAGUUGGGGGCAUUCGUACUUAAAAGUCAGAGGUGAAAUUCUUAGAUUUUUUAAAGACGAACUAAUGCGAAGGCAUUUGCCGAGGAUGUUUUCAUUAAUCAAGAACGAAAGCGUUGGGAUCAAAAAGGAUCAGAUACCCUUGUAGUCAACGCCGUAAACGAUACUGACUAGGGAUUGGUGAGGCGAACCCUCAUCAGCACCUAAUGAGAAAUCAAAGUCUUUGAGUUCUGGGGAGAGUAUGGUCGCAAGGCUGAAACUUAAAGGAAUUGACGGAAAGAUACACAAGUCGUGGAUUCUGCGGCUUAAUUUGAUUCAACACGGGAAAACUUACGCAGGCAAAAAGCUAGUAGGAUUGACAGCUUGAUAGCACUUUCUUGAUUUGGCAGCGAGUGGUGCAUGGCCGUUCUUA